AGAGAUUCGCGGCCUAUCAGCUUGUUGGUGGGGUGAUGGCCUACCAAGGCGGCGACGGGUAGCCGGCCUGAGGGUGUCCGGCCACACUGGGACUGAGACACGGCCCAGACUCCUACGGGAGGCAGCAGUGGGGAAUAUUGCACAAUGGGCGGAAGCCUGAUGCAGCGACGCCGCGUGAGGGAUGACGGCCUUCGGGUUGUAAACCUCUUUCAGUACAGAACAAGGCUCUUUCCUUUGGGGGGGUUGAGGGUAUGUGCAGAAGAAGCCCCGGCCAACUACGUGCCAGCAGCCGCGGUAAUACGUAGGGGGCGAGCGUUGUCCGGAUUCAUUGGGCGUAAAGAGCUCGUAGGCGGCUCAGUAAGUCGGCCGUGAAAGCCCGGGGCUCAACCCCGGGACGCCGGUCGAUACUGCUGUGGCUAGGGCCCGGUAGAGGAGAGUGGAAUUCCCGGUGUAGCGGUGAAAUGCGCAGAUAUCGGGAGGAACACCAGUAGCGAAGGCGGCUCUCUGGGCCGGUACCGACGCUGAGGAGCGAAAGCUAGGGGAGCAAACAGGAUUAGAUACCCUGGUAGUCCUAGCCGUAAACGUUGGGCACUAGGUGUGGCGGAUUCAUUGACAUCUGCCGUGCCGAAGCUAACGCAUUAAGUGCCCCGCCUGGGGAGUACGGAAU
This 667-nucleotide ribosomal RNA is filed under the name uncultured bacterium. RNAcentral describes it as "bacterial SSU rRNA". It matches the Rfam family "Bacterial small subunit ribosomal RNA", at positions 225 to 888 of the family's 1533-position model. The record is from RNAcentral.